AACAGGUUAUGUCGUUUCAAACACCGCGCUCGGAAACAGGUUAUGUCGUUUCAAACACCCCGCUCGGAAACAGGUUAUGUCGUUUCAAACACCCGGCUCGGAAACAGGUUAUGUCGUUUCAAACACCCCGCUCUGAAACAGGUUAUGUCGUUUCAAACACCCCGCUCUGAAACAGGUUAUGUCGUUUCAAACACCCCGCUCUGAAACAGGUUAUGUCGUUUCAAACACCCCGCUCUGAAACAGGUUAUGUCGUUUCAAACACCCCGCUCUGAAACAGGUUAUGUCGUUUCAAACACCCCGCUCUGAAACAGGUUAUGUCGUUUCAAACACCCCGCUCUGAAACAGGUUAUGUCGUUUCAAACACCCCGCUCUGAAACAGGUUAUGUCGUUUCAAACACCCCGCUCUGAAACAGGUUAUGUCGUUUCAAACACCCCGCUCUGAAACAGGUUAUGUCGUUUCAAACACCCCGCUCUGAAACAGGUUAUGUCGUUUCAAACACCCCGCUCUGAAACAGGUUAUGUCGUUUCAAACACCCCGCUCUGAAACAGGUUAUGUCGUUUCAAACACCCCGCUCUGAAACAGGUUAUGUCGUUUCAAACACCCCGCUCUGAAACAGGUUAUGUCGUUUCAAACACCCCGCUCUGAAACAGGUUAUG
Molecule: long non-coding RNA, 657 nt
Organism: Oncorhynchus keta (chum salmon)
Lineage: Eukaryota; Metazoa; Chordata; Actinopteri; Salmoniformes; Salmonidae
Exons: 3
Source: RefSeq, a predicted model, not a curated record